Crotalus tigris (Tiger rattlesnake) is the source of this 1308-nucleotide long non-coding RNA. RefSeq lists it as uncharacterized. The record is from RefSeq and is a predicted model, not a curated record. The transcript has 2 exons. NCBI's taxonomy places the organism in Eukaryota, Metazoa, Chordata, Lepidosauria, Squamata, Viperidae.
CUGGGAUGGAGACGGAUCGUCCGCGGCCGGGCACGAAGGGGAGCCCCGGAGGGAGGCCGCCUCAAAGGGCCCUUCGGGGCGCUGGGCCGCGGGAGGAGGCCUCGCUUUGCAGGGGCGCCCCGAGCUUUCCCAUGCAUUUGUGCUUAAUCACUUUGAAGGAAGAUUUUGAUUUGCAAAUCAUCUCUUGGACAGUAUCUCCAAAAUCAAAAAGGCCAAAGGAACAUCUAUUAAGUACACAUUUUAGUUUUUUCCAAUUUUGCUCCAAGUAAGAGCUCAAAUGUAUCUGUGUAGUCACGUGUAUUAUGUACACAUGCCAGUUUUCAUGUGUGAAAAGGGAUUUUUGCAAUUGCCGAUGUAUUUCAAAAUCUUUACAAUAUGUAAUACUUCACAGAUGUAUUACUCAGUACAGUGUCCAUUAAAAUAAGCAAUAACAUUUUAGCAAUACGUUUCAGAUUCCUAGUUGGUUUGAAAAGGGUUAUUUGGACAUGUCAUGCAUGUCUGAAUCUGUCUAAAUCUAAAUCGGGGGGGGGGAGUUAAGUGAGUUUUAUUAGCCUCUUUGUUCCAAUUCUGAUUUCAACCUCCCCUUUUCCUGAAAUAUGAUUAAAAUUGCUUUGAAUAGUGUAAUUGCAACAAUGAAGUUCCACCUAUGUCCCAGAAAAUUAUUCUGAAGCAGCUACUUAUCCCAUGUUUGUGUUGUACAACAAGAAAGAUCAAAUAUUUAGUAUGAUUUGAAAAAAAAAAUCAGGAUGCCUUUGAAUCAGUGACACCUGGGGACUACGGGGAAAUGUCCAUAUGGUUCUAUUGGUAGCCACUUUAGAAGCCCUUCUUUUUAGGACUAAGACAGAACUGGUCCAAAGAUACCCAAAGGAUUAUUAGGAAGGAGCAGGACUCGGUUUUCCUACUCCUAGUCCAGCAGCUUAGCCAACAGACCAAACUGCCAUGUCACUGUUUCCCAGCACAAGAUGAUAUUUUGUUAUGAUUUGUUCAACAAUUUUUUUAGAGUAGGUUAAAAAAAAAGAUUAUUCUGCAGCUUUCAUCUCAAGCUAUCCCUUAGAAUGUGAAUCAUACUGGUUGCAAUCAUUCAGUAACCCAGUUCUGAAAUUGUCUUACUCUACUACCUGUAGGAGGAGAGGCAGAGCCUGGGGAUGGAGUCAAGAGAGGAAUCUGCCUGGAAUCGUUACUUUCUCACAAGUGGUCUAAGUCCAGCCCUCCUUGAAUUCCAUUAAUUCUUAUCUAGCGCCAAUGUAGUGCUGACCGUUGACUACAUUUUUGUGCAUAUGCAUGAGCAAUAAAUCAGUUUGGCUGGAA